AUUGAACGCUGGCGGCAGGCCUAACACAUGCCAGUCGAACGGUAACAGGAAGAAGCUUGCUUCUUUGCUGACGAGUGGCGGACGGGUGAGUAAUGUCUGGGAAACUGCCUGAUGGAGGGGGAUAACUACUGGAAACGGUAGCUAAUACCGCAUAACGUCGCAAGACCAAAAAGGGGGACCUUCGGGCCUCUUGCCAUCGGAUGUGCCCAGAUGGGAUUAGCUAGUAGGUGGGGUAACGGCUCACCUAGGCGACGAUCCCUAGCUGGUCUGAGAGGAUGACCAGCCACACUGGAACUGAGACACGGUCCAGACUCCUACGGGAGGCAGCAGUGGGGAAUAUUGGACAAUGGGCGCAAGCCUGAUGCAGCCAUGCCGCGUGUAUGAAGAAGGCCUUCGGGUUGUAAAGUACUUUCAGCGGGGAGGAAGGGAGUAAAGUUAAUACCUUUGCUCAUUGACGUUACCCGCAGAAGAAGCACCGGCUAACUCCGUG
RNAcentral lists this ribosomal RNA (490 nucleotides) under uncultured bacterium. RNAcentral's name for it is "partial 16S ribosomal RNA". It matches the Rfam family "Bacterial small subunit ribosomal RNA", at positions 30 to 507 of the family's 1533-position model. The record is from RNAcentral.